RNAcentral lists this ribosomal RNA (449 nucleotides) under uncultured bacterium. RNAcentral describes it as "bacterial SSU rRNA". It matches the Rfam family "Bacterial small subunit ribosomal RNA", at positions 328 to 792 of the family's 1533-position model. The record is from RNAcentral.
GUACCAGACUCCUACGGGAGGCAGCAGUGGGGGAUAUUGCACAAUGGGGGAAACCCUGAUGCAGCGACGCCGCGUGGGCGAAGAAGUAUUUCGGUAUGUAAAGCCCUAUCAGCAGGGAAGAAGAAAUGACGGUACCUGAGUAAGAAGCACCGGCUAAAUACGUGCCAGCAGCCGCGGUAAUACGUAGGGGGCGAGCGUUAUCCGGAUUUACUGGGUGUAAAGGGGGCGUAGACGGCGGCGCAAGUCUGAAGUGAAAGCCCGUGGCUCAACCGCGGAACCGCUUUGGAAACUGCGAGGCUGGAGUGCUGGAGAGGUAAGCGGAAUUCCUGGUGUAGCGGUGAAAUGCGUAGAUAUCAGGAGGAACACCGGUGGCGAAGGCGGCUUACUGGACAGUGACUGACGUUGAGGCUCGAAAGCGUGGGGAGCGAACAGGAUUAGAUACCCUUGUA